This 1554-nucleotide ribosomal RNA is filed under the name Enterobacter sp. K66-74. RNAcentral describes it as "bacterial SSU rRNA". It matches the Rfam family "Bacterial small subunit ribosomal RNA". The record is from RNAcentral. Lineage: Bacteria; Pseudomonadati; Pseudomonadota; Gammaproteobacteria; Enterobacterales; Enterobacteriaceae.
ACUUAAAUUGAAGAGUUUGAUCAUGGCUCAGAUUGAACGCUGGCGGCAGGCCUAACACAUGCAAGUCGAGCGGUAGCACAGAGAGCUUGCUCUCGGGUGACGAGCGGCGGACGGGUGAGUAAUGUCUGGGAAACUGCCUGAUGGAGGGGGAUAACUACUGGAAACGGUAGCUAAUACCGCAUAACGUCGCAAGACCAAAGAGGGGGACCUUCGGGCCUCUUGCCAUCAGAUGUGCCCAGAUGGGAUUAGCUAGUAGGUGGGGUAACGGCUCACCUAGGCGACGAUCCCUAGCUGGUCUGAGAGGAUGACCAGCCACACUGGAACUGAGACACGGUCCAGACUCCUACGGGAGGCAGCAGUGGGGAAUAUUGCACAAUGGGCGCAAGCCUGAUGCAGCCAUGCCGCGUGUAUGAAGAAGGCCUUCGGGUUGUAAAGUACUUUCAGCGGGGAGGAAGGCGAUAAGGUUAAUAACCUUGUCGAUUGACGUUACCCGCAGAAGAAGCACCGGCUAACUCCGUGCCAGCAGCCGCGGUAAUACGGAGGGUGCAAGCGUUAAUCGGAAUUACUGGGCGUAAAGCGCACGCAGGCGGUCUGUCAAGUCGGAUGUGAAAUCCCCGGGCUCAACCUGGGAACUGCAUUCGAAACUGGCAGGCUAGAGUCUUGUAGAGGGGGGUAGAAUUCCAGGUGUAGCGGUGAAAUGCGUAGAGAUCUGGAGGAAUACCGGUGGCGAAGGCGGCCCCCUGGACAAAGACUGACGCUCAGGUGCGAAAGCGUGGGGAGCAAACAGGAUUAGAUACCCUGGUAGUCCACGCCGUAAACGAUGUCGACUUGGAGGUUGUGCCCUUGAGGCGUGGCUUCCGGAGCUAACGCGUUAAGUCGACCGCCUGGGGAGUACGGCCGCAAGGUUAAAACUCAAAUGAAUUGACGGGGGCCCGCACAAGCGGUGGAGCAUGUGGUUUAAUUCGAUGCAACGCGAAGAACCUUACCUACUCUUGACAUCCAGAGAACUUUCCAGAGAUGGAUUGGUGCCUUCGGGAACUCUGAGACAGGUGCUGCAUGGCUGUCGUCAGCUCGUGUUGUGAAAUGUUGGGUUAAGUCCCGCAACGAGCGCAACCCUUAUCCUUUGUUGCCAGCGGUUAGGCCGGGAACUCAAAGGAGACUGCCAGUGAUAAACUGGAGGAAGGUGGGGAUGACGUCAAGUCAUCAUGGCCCUUACGAGUAGGGCUACACACGUGCUACAAUGGCGCAUACAAAGAGAAGCGACCUCGCGAGAGCAAGCGGACCUCAUAAAGUGCGUCGUAGUCCGGAUUGGAGUCUGCAACUCGACUCCAUGAAGUCGGAAUCGCUAGUAAUCGUAGAUCAGAAUGCUACGGUGAAUACGUUCCCGGGCCUUGUACACACCGCCCGUCACACCAUGGGAGUGGGUUGCAAAAGAAGUAGGUAGCUUAACCUUCGGGAGGGCGCUUACCACUUUGUGAUUCAUGACUGGGGUGAAGUCGUAACAAGGUAACCGUAGGGGAACCUGCGGUUGGAUCACCUCCUUACCUUAAAGAA